RNAcentral lists this ribosomal RNA (1170 nucleotides) under Halomonas halocynthiae DSM 14573. Its description in RNAcentral is "bacterial LSU rRNA". It matches the Rfam family "Bacterial large subunit ribosomal RNA", at positions 1763 to 2925 of the family's 2925-position model. Lineage: Bacteria; Pseudomonadati; Pseudomonadota; Gammaproteobacteria; Oceanospirillales; Halomonadaceae. The record is from RNAcentral.
GGAGCCGAAAGCGGUCGAAGAUACCAGGUGGCUGCAACUGUUUACUAAAAACACAGCACUCUGCAAACGCGUAAGCGGACGUAUAGGGUGUGACGCCUGCCCGGUGCCGGAAGGUUAAUUGAUGGUGUUAGCCGUAAGGCGAAGCUCUUGAUCGAAGCCCCGGUAAACGGCGGCCGUAACUAUAACGGUCCUAAGGUAGCGAAAUUCCUUGUCGGGUAAGUUCCGACCUGCACGAAUGGCGUAAUGAUGGCCACACUGUCUCCACCCGAGACUCAGUGAAAUUGAAAUCGCCGUGAAGAUGCGGUGUACCCGCGGCUAGACGGAAAGACCCCGUGAACCUUUACUAUAGCUUCACACUGACCGCUGAUGUUGCCUGUGUAGGAUAGCUGGGAGGCUUUGAAACUCUGUCGCCAGAUGGAGUGGAGCCAACCUUGAAAUACCAGCCUGGCAUCAUUGGCGUUCUCACUCAGGUCCGUUAUCCGGAUCGAGGACCGUGUGUGGUGGGUAGUUUGACUGGGGCGGUCUCCUCCUAAAGAGUAACGGAGGAGCACGAAGGUACCCUCAGUACGGUUGGAAAUCGUGCAUUGAGUGCAAGAGCAUAAGGGUGCUUGACUGCGAGACAGACACGUCGAGCAGGUACGAAAGUAGGUUCUAGUGAUCCGGUGGUUCUGUAUGGAAGGGCCAUCGCUCAACGGAUAAAAGGUACUCCGGGGAUAACAGGCUGAUACCGCCCAAGAGUUCACAUCGACGGCGGUGUUUGGCACCUCGAUGUCGGCUCAUCACAUCCUGGGGCUGAAGUCGGUCCCAAGGGUAUGGCUGUUCGCCAUUUAAAGUGGUACGCGAGCUGGGUUUAGAACGUCGUGAGACAGUUCGGUCCCUAUCUGCCGUGGGCGUUGGAGAUUUGAGAAGUGCUGCUCCUAGUACGAGAGGACCGGAGUGGACGAACCUCUGGUGUUCGGGUUGUCACGCCAGUGGCAUUGCCCGGUAGCUAUGUUCGGACAGGAUAACCGCUGAAAGCAUCUAAGCGGGAAGCCCCCUUCAAGAUGAGAUCUCCCCGAGGCCUUGAGCCUCCUGAAGGGCCCAGCAAGACUAGCUGGUUGAUAGGCCGGGUGUGGACGCACCAAUAGGUGUUGAGCUAACCGGUACUAAUUGCCCGUGAGGCUUGACCAU